UUUAUCUGGUAAAGCGAAUGAUUAGAGGCCUUGGGGCCGAAACGAUCUCAACCUAUUCUCAAACUUUAAAUGGGUAAGAAGCCCGGCUCGCUGGCUUGGAGCCGGGCGUGGAAUGCGAGCCGCCUAGUGGGCCACUUUUGGUAAGCAGAACUGGCGCUGCGGGAUGAACCGAACGCCGGGUUAAGGCGCCCGAUGCCGACGCUCAUCAGACCCCAGAAAAGGUGUUGGUUGAUAUAGACAGCAGGACGGUGGCCAUG
Molecule: ribosomal RNA, 257 nt
Filed under: Mugil curema (white mullet)
Lineage: Eukaryota; Metazoa; Chordata; Actinopteri; Mugiliformes; Mugilidae
Description: partial 28S ribosomal RNA
Rfam family: Eukaryotic large subunit ribosomal RNA
Source: RNAcentral